Molecule: ribosomal RNA, 439 nt
Filed under: Lachnoanaerobaculum saburreum
Lineage: Bacteria; Bacillati; Bacillota; Clostridia; Lachnospirales; Lachnospiraceae
Description: bacterial SSU rRNA
Rfam family: Bacterial small subunit ribosomal RNA
Source: RNAcentral
GAUGAACGCUAGCGGCGUGCUUAACACAUGCAAGUCGAACGAAGCUGUUAAAAGGAAGUCUUCGGAUGGAAUUUUAACAGACUUAGUGGCGGACGGGUGAGUAACGCGUGGAUAACCUGCCUUAUACAGGGGGAUAACGGAGAGAAAUUUCCGCUAAGACCGCAUAAGACCACAGCACCGCAUGGUGCAGGGGCAAAAUAUUAAUAGGUAUAAGAUGGAUCCGCGUCCGAUUAGCUUGUUGGUGAGGUAGAGGCUCACCAAGGCGACGAUCGGUAGCCGGCCUGAGAGGGUGAACGGCCACAUUGGGACUGAGACACGGCCCAAACUCCUACGGGAGGCAGCAGUGGGGAAUAUUGGACAAUGGGGGAAACCCUGAUCCAGCGACGCCGCGUGAGUGAAGAAGUAUUUCGGUAUGUAAAGCUCUAUCAGCAGGGAAGAA